This 492-nucleotide ribosomal RNA is filed under the name uncultured bacterium. RNAcentral's name for it is "partial 16S ribosomal RNA". It matches the Rfam family "Bacterial small subunit ribosomal RNA", at positions 29 to 507 of the family's 1533-position model. The record is from RNAcentral.
AGUGAACGCUGGCGGUAGGCCCAACACAUGCAAGUCGAACGGCAGCACAGUAAGAGCUUGCUCUUACGGGUGGCGAGUGGCGGACGGGUGAGGAAUACAUCGGAAUCUACUUUUUCGUGGGGGAUAACGUAGGGAAACUUACGCUAAUACCGCAUACGACCUACGGGUGAAAGCAGGGGAUCUUCGGACCUUGCGCGAUUGAAUGAGCCGAUGUCGGAUUAGCUAGUUGGCGGGGUAAAGGCCCACCAAGGCGACGAUCCGUAGCUGGUCUGAGAGGAUGAUCAGCCACACUGGAACUGAGACACGGUCCAGACUCCUACGGGAGGCAGCAGUGGGGAAUAUUGGACAAUGGGCGCAAGCCUGAUCCAGCCAUACCGCGUGGGUGAAGAAGGCCUUCGGGUCGUAAAGCCCUUUUGUUGGGAAAGAAAAGCAGCAGGUUAAUACCCCGCUGUUCUGACGGUACCCAAAGAAUAAGCACCGGCUAACUUCGUG